AGAGUUUGAUCCUGGCUCAGAUUGAACGCUAGCGGGAUGCUUUACACAUGCAAGUCGAACGGCAGCACGAGAGAGCUUGCUCUCUUGGUGGCGAGUGGCGGACGGGUGAGUAAUAUAUCGGAACGUGCCCAGUAGCGGGGGAUAACUACUCGAAAGAGUGGCUAAUACCGCAUACGCCCUACGGGGGAAAGGGGGGGAUCGCAAGACCUCUCACUAUUGGAGCGGCCGAUAUCGGAUUAGCUAGUUGGUGGGGUAAAGGCUCACCAAGGCAACGAUCCGUAGCUGGUUUGAGAGGACGACCAGCCACACUGGGACUGAGACACGGCCCAGACUCCUACGGGAGGCAGCAGUGGGGAAUUUUGGACAAUGGGGGAAACCCUGAUCCAGCCAUCCCGCGUGUAUGAUGAAGGCCUUCGGGUUGUAAAGUACUUUUGGCAGAGAAGAAAAGGCAUCCCCUAAUACGGGAUGCUGCUGACGGUAUCUGCAGAAUAAGCACCGGCUAACUACGUGCCAGCAGCCGCGGUAAUACGUAGGGUGCAAGCGUUAAUCGGAAUUACCGGGCGUAAAGCGUGUGUAGGCGGUUCGGAAAGAAAGAUGUGAAAUCCCAGGGCUCAACCUUGGAACUGCAUUUUUAACUGCCGAGCUAGAGUAUGUCAGAGGGGGGUAGAAUUCCACGUGUAGCAGUGAAAUGCGUAGAUAUGUGGAGGAAUACCGAUGGCGAAGGCAGCCCCCUGGGAUAAUACUGACGCUCAGACACGAAAGCGUGGGGAGCAAAAAGGAUUAGAUACCCUGGUAGUCCACGCCCUA
Molecule: ribosomal RNA, 807 nt
Filed under: uncultured bacterium
Lineage: Bacteria
Description: bacterial SSU rRNA
Rfam family: Bacterial small subunit ribosomal RNA
Source: RNAcentral